This 310-nucleotide long non-coding RNA is filed under the name Elaeis guineensis (African oil palm). RNAcentral describes it as "long non-coding RNA (EGUI_LNC027296)". The record is from RNAcentral. Lineage: Eukaryota; Viridiplantae; Streptophyta; Magnoliopsida; Arecales; Arecaceae.
CAAGGAUGAGCAUUUAUAUAGGAAGAUUUUAGGAAACUUUGUAAGGUAAAAUGUGUAGAAAUAUCCGGAGACUACAUAAAACAGUUCAUACGGGGCGAGUGCAGCAUAACUAGCGGGGUUUUUCUUCCCAAGCGCAACGCCAACAUUAACUUUUACAUGAAUAAAAUAUGAAUAAUACACGCAAUUAUCUGGCAAGUGGUGAAAGCAGGUAAUCAGUGGAAGGGAUUGAUUUUUUUUUUUUUCCCCUUCCCCUCAUUCAAGGAAAACCUUCAAAGUAUCCAUCCUAAAAAAACCAUAAAUACGGCAAUCA